AGAGUUUGAUCCUGGCUCAGGAUGAACGCUGGCGGCGUGCCUAAUACAUGCGAGUCGAGCGAACAGAUAAGGAGCUUGCUCCUUUGACGUUAGCGGCGGACGGGUGAGUAACACGUGGGUAACCUACCUAUAAGACUGGGAUAACUUCGGGGAACCGGAGCUAAUACCGGAUAACAUUUGGAACCGCAUGGUUCUAAAGUGAAAGAUGGUUUUGCUAUCACUUAUAGAUGGACCCGCGCCGUAUUAGCUAGUUGGUAAGGUAACGGCUUACCAAGGCGACGAUACGUAGCCGACCUGAGAGGGUGAUCGGCCACACUGGAACUGAGACACGGUCCAGACUCCUACGGGAGGCAGCAGUAGGGAAUCUUCCGCAAUGGGCGAAAGCCUGACGGAGCAACGCCGCGUGAGUGAUGAAGGGUUUCGGCUCGUAAAACUCUGUUAUUAGGGAAGAACAAAUGUGUAAGUAACUGUGCACGUCUUGACGGUACCUAAUCAGAAAGCCACGGCUAACUACGUGCCAGCAGCCGCGGUAAUACGUAGGUGGCAAGCGUUAUCCGGAAUUAUUGGGCGUAAAGCGCGCGUAGGCGGUUUCUUAAGUCUGAUGUGAAAGCCCACGGCUCAACCGUGGAGGGUCAUUGGAAACUGGGAAACUUGAGUGCAGAAGAGGAAAGUGGAAUUCCAUGUGUAGCGGUGAAAUGCGCAGAGAUAUGGAGGAGCACCAGUGGCGAAGGCGACUUUCUGGUCUGUAACUGACGCUGAUGUGCGAAAGCGUGGGGAUCAAACAGGAUUAGAUACCCUGGUAGUCC
Molecule: ribosomal RNA, 806 nt
Filed under: uncultured bacterium
Lineage: Bacteria
Description: bacterial SSU rRNA
Rfam family: Bacterial small subunit ribosomal RNA
Source: RNAcentral